GAUGAACGCUGGCGGCGUGCCUAAUACAUGCAAGUCGAGCGAAUGGAUUAAGAGCUUGCUCUUAUGAAGUUAGCGGCGGACGGGUGAGUAACACGUGGGUAACCUGCCCAUAAGACUGGGAUAACUCCGGGAAACCGGGGCUAAUACCGGAUAACAUUUUGAACCGCAUGGUUCGAAAUUGAAAGGCGGCUUCGGCUAUCACUUAUGGAUGGACCCGCGUCGCAUUAGCUAGUUGGUGAGGUAACGGCUCACCAAGGCAACGAUGCGUAGCCGCACUGGGAGGGUGAUCGGCCACACUGGGACUGGGACGCGGCCCAGACUCCGACGGGAGGCAGCAGUGGGGAAUCUUCCGCAAUGGACGAAAGUCUGACGGAGCAACGCCGCGUGAGUGAUGAAGGCUUUCGGGUCGUAAAACUCUGUUGUUAGGGAAGAACAAGUGCUAGUUGAAUAAGCUGGCACCUUGACGGUACCUAACCAGAAAGCCACGGCUAACUACGUGCCAGCCGCCGCGGUAA
This 515-nucleotide ribosomal RNA is filed under the name uncultured bacterium. RNAcentral's name for it is "partial 16S ribosomal RNA". It matches the Rfam family "Bacterial small subunit ribosomal RNA", at positions 28 to 523 of the family's 1533-position model. The record is from RNAcentral.